CAUAUGCGUGAUGUCUUAAUAGGGAUAGAAUUUUUUUUGCUGAAUCGCAUCUCUAUUGAUACUAUAAGAUCAUAUAGCAGCAUGUUUAUGGUUCAGUUCUCUGCUUAGCAUAUUAGCGCAAGUUUCUGCAUCAGUGUCUAUUUGAACAUAUCCUGGUCAGCAGCAUCAAACAAGUUUGAUUUGUAAGUGCAAACAAUUUGGAGAAGUGAUUGUGUAUAGUGCAGCAUACAUUUACAUAUUCACUUCAUCACUUGAAUGCAGGAAAGAAGAGGUAGAGAAAUGCACAAAAUGUACCUGCAGCUUCCUGAGCAUUGCCUUCAUUAUGAGCGAGAGCAUCAGCUUCAUCAUCAGCUGCAGCCGUGCCUCCAGGCACGGUGUUGAGGACGAAGAUGCGCACACGUGUUAGUUGCUUGCUUGCCGGUGUUGGAGUUGGAUGCUAGUUGCACGCUAGAAUUGAUGCUUGUUCAAGAGUUGGGGUCAAAAUUGCCUUUGUAUAUGUUUUAAUUUUCUUAUAGUUCUUCAUAAAUUUGUUUAUUUGGUCUCAAAAAGUUGCUUCAUGUAACUGUUGAGUUUGAAUGGUAGUAUUAGUGAAAUAGAAAUAAUAUAAUGUGAGCAGAUUAAGAGAGGGGUGAUGGAUAUAAUUCUAGUAGAAAAUUGCUCGUGAUAUUAGUAGAAAGUUGCUUGUAAUAUAAUGGAAGGCAGAUUUUUUUAUUCUAA
Panicum virgatum (switchgrass) is the source of this 717-nucleotide long non-coding RNA. RefSeq lists it as uncharacterized. The transcript is spliced from 2 exons. The record is from RefSeq and is a predicted model, not a curated record. Lineage: Eukaryota; Viridiplantae; Streptophyta; Magnoliopsida; Poales; Poaceae.